CGGGACUGCAGAUUUAGACAAGUGGUGAUCGCCGAAGUGGUGGUCAUGGAUCGUUUCGUUGCGGUGACGUGUUGGGAUUCAGUCCUGCAUUACAUCUGCUAGAUGAAGGUUUGUUGGAGAAAGCUCGACUGGAAGAGAAAGGAAAAGAUGAAGCUAGGACUCGGCGUUUCAGUAGACGGACUGGAAACUCCGUUGGACGUGUUACUCACGAACGCGAGGCACCUACGGAUGUGCAUAACUGCACUCAACAUACUGCUCAUGGGUAUGGGAGGCAUUUGAAAUAUUGUCAAAACUUUUGCUCUAAGCCACAGACACAGAAAAGCAAAGUUGAAGUUCUAGGUCACUGAAAACAGUUUAGAAGUGAUCACUAGGCACAUGCCCUUACUGGCCGUGUUAUUUGAACAGCCAGACCAACUUGGACUGCAAGGCAAG
Molecule: long non-coding RNA, 432 nt
Organism: Corticium candelabrum
Lineage: Eukaryota; Metazoa; Porifera; Homoscleromorpha; Homosclerophorida; Plakinidae
Exons: 5
Source: RefSeq, a predicted model, not a curated record